GUCUUGAAUUCUUAAUUUAUUUCCAUUUUGUUUAUUGAGUAGAUUUUUCAACUUAAAUUCAUGUUUGCAAGGUACAUAUACAUUUAACAUGAUAAAAAUAUUCAAAUAGUGCAAAGGUGCAUAUCCUUGGAGUACUUCUUCCUUCUACUCUGUUCUCUCUUGGCUGCCUACUUCCUCUCUUUGGAGGAAACCAAUUACCAAGGUCUUGUGCAUCUCUCCACAGACAGUUAUGCAAGUAUACAAAUAUGUCUACGUACAUUUAUCUUGGACACAGAGAUGUAGGACCAGAUCCCUUUUCAUGAAAGGACUUGUUGCUCCAGCUUCUAUGAGUGCUGUCCAUAGACACAGUCUUUAGCUGUCAGCCCCAUUCAGAGAUCAUCUCUGCUAUAGAGCUGCUUACCCAAGGCCAUGAUCUUCCCAGGGCAGCCCACAUCUAAUGACUCAAAGAGAAGGCUAUUUCAGCCUGACACUGGCCAUUUGUGAUGGAAAAAUUUAAUUCCAGAAUUCUUUCUUCACAGGGUGACUUAUCCCUCUGUUCAACACUGCUUCUGCACCCCCACCUGCCACAGGCUGCUCCGUGUUUCUUUCUGGGUGACAAGAGAAGACUGAAGUAUCCACACAGGUUUGGGGGCACAUUUGGAUAAAGAAGUCAUCCAAGUAAAGAACAUGAUUUUUUUGAUUUACUAAAUUUAAGGCUGACUAUGCUCGUUGCUACUUUCUAAAUGAACACCUAUCAGCUAGAAUCACAAUACAUCCAUUCUAUUCAAUCCUUUUGACACAUAAUUGUGUCAAAUUCGUAUGGUUUGGGCUAACUGUAUAGAGGCUUCAGAAAAAGAACUUUUAAGUACUGACACGAGAGAACAGGGCUGACCCUUAAAACCACGCGAUGAGGAACCGUGCCCAAAUGGUGUUUUUGCAAUCCAAGGUUCAGGGAAACUCUGCAGUAACACAAAGGUGUAAAAGACCGCUAGACUGGGUCAGGAGGCUUUGGUUCUAACUCCAGUGAGACCACGAAUAUUUCCUCUUUGACUUCACCUAAGCUGCUUUCUGCCUCUAAAGCAAUAGUUCGCCAUCUGGGAAAUGAGGGGUUUGACCUAUAAUGUUUAAAGUUCCAGCCCUUGAGACUCUUUUCUACUCCUUGCUACUGUAAGAGCAAGACUGAACAGUAACACAUUUUUAUAAUCCCAGCUCCGAGUACAACUGUCUCUCAUUUGCUGUGACUCCCUCUGUGGACAGGUGCAGACAAAUGGCAACAUGGCCCAUAUCUGUCCGCCCAUCGCAUGUGCUCCAUGUGGACCAAGAUAGGAAUAGAUGCACCUUUCUUGGUCAGAUGAUUUGUGAGUUAAGAACUCAGAUUUGGAUCCAAGUUAGCUGGCCUUAGCCAUUUACUCCCUGUGUGACCUGGGUAGCUUAUUUCAGCUCUCUGAGACUCUAUUUGUCCAUCUGUAAAGUGGGGAUGACAAUCAUUGUGUCUCAGGGUUUCAUGUGUCUGGCAUGUGAUAAAUGGAGGUAAAUAACUUUGUGGUUAUGUGCUAAAAUGCUGGAUCCAUACACCUGGGUUUGAAUCCCACGUCCACCAUUUAUCAGCCUCACGUCCUUGGUCAGAUUACUUACCUUGCCCUGAAUUUCACUUCUCAAUCUGUAAAAUGGACAUGAUCAUUACAGCGGUACGCAUCAGGUGCAAUAAUCCAUGAAGCACAUCGAACAGUACCCAGCUCUUCUUAGAACUCAAUAAAUUUAGCUAUUAUUGUUAUUCGGUGGUAGAUAAUACUCAGAGUACACAUUACACAUCAAAAAUGCAAACAUUGAGCAAGAAACCAUUAUUGAGAACAUCAUCCAAGGAGUCAGAAAAACGAUUAACCUAACUACUAGCUAAAGCAGACACACAUUAAUUACUGAGCAUUUUGUUUUUCACCCUUGAUGAAAAUAGAGACACUACUGCUCAGCCCUUAGAAGCUAAAUCCAAAGGAAUCAGACGCUUUCUGAAGUCCAGUUGGGCCAGUGGCCCGCACCAUCUCCACUCUGCUCAUCAACAUGACCACGUGCCAGCCCGCAAACCCUCGAAUCUCCUGACGGAAGAGCAAGUGGUAACCACACAGGGCUUAGGCCUGCCGAGAGUGAGGUCAUGAUUCAGGGCUUUGACUCCGUCAAACAGUGCUGACAAAGACACCCUGUUUUCCCUGACAGAACAGAAUCAUAUUACUGCACACACAAGUGUCUCACACCUGGGAAAGAUGAAAUUACACUAAAGCUUAAUCCUCCGAAACCAGCUCAACAAGAAGUCACUUAAACAUUUAGGUUAGGAGUUGUCUCCUGGCAAAGAAAAUAUUGCAAGGCCACUGGGCAGUUUUAACUAAUUAGAAGGGCCUGGCUUUGUCAGUGGAAAUAAUGUUUGAUCCUUUAUUCUCUUUAUUAAUUAUACCUUAAGAGGUCUCAACACAGCCUCUUUUAAAUAAACACACUUGGGUCUCCUGCACUCAUCUUAUUAAGGGAAGAAAUCAGUCC
This 2505-nucleotide long non-coding RNA is filed under the name Canis lupus familiaris (dog). RNAcentral describes it as "lncRNA (ENSCAFG00000053322.1)". Lineage: Eukaryota; Metazoa; Chordata; Mammalia; Carnivora; Canidae. The record is from RNAcentral.